GAUGAACGCUGGCGGCGUGCUUAACACAUGCAAGUCGAACGAUGAAGCCCAGCUUGCUGGGUGGAUUAGUGGCGAACGGGUGAGUAACACGUGAGUAACCUGCCCUUAACUCUGGGAUAAGCCUGGGAAACUGGGUCUAAUACCGGAUAGGAGCGUCCACCGCAUGGUGGGUGUUGGAAAGAUUUAUCGGUUUUGGAUGGACUCGCGGCCUAUCAGCUUGUUGGAGAGGUAAUGGCUCACGAAGGCGACGACGGGUAGCCGGCCUGAGAGGGUGACCGGCCACACUGGGACUGAGACACGGCCCAGACUCCUACGGGAGGCAGCAGUGGGGAAUAUUGCACAAUGGGCGCAAGCCUGAUGCAGCGACGCCGCGUGAGGGAUGACGGCCUUCGGGUUGUAAACCUCUUUCAGUAGGGAAGAAGCGAAAGUGACGGUACCUGCAGAAGAAGCACCGGCUAACUACGUG
This 466-nucleotide ribosomal RNA is filed under the name uncultured bacterium. RNAcentral describes it as "partial 16S ribosomal RNA". It matches the Rfam family "Bacterial small subunit ribosomal RNA", at positions 28 to 507 of the family's 1533-position model. The record is from RNAcentral.